This 447-nucleotide ribosomal RNA is filed under the name uncultured bacterium. Its description in RNAcentral is "SSU rRNA". It matches the Rfam family "Bacterial small subunit ribosomal RNA", at positions 26 to 518 of the family's 1533-position model. The record is from RNAcentral.
AGAGCGAACGCUGGCGGCAGGCCUAACACAUGCAAGUCGAGCGCCCGUAGCAAUACGGGAGCGGCAGACGGGAUAGUAGCACGUGGGAACGCGCCCUUCGGUUCGGAAUAACUCAGGGAAACUUGAGCUAAUACCGGAUACGCCCUUACGGGGAAAGAUUUAUUGCCGAAGGAACGGCCCGCGUCCGAUUAGCUAGUUGGUGAGGUAAUGGCUCACCAAGGCUCCGAUCGGUAGCUGGUCUGAGAGGAUGACCAGCAUCACUGGGACUGAGACACGGCCCAGACUCCUACGGGAGGCAGCAGUGGGGAAUAUUGGACAAUGGGCGCAAGCCUGAUCCAGCCAUGCCGCGUGGAUGAUGAAGGCCUUAGGGUUGUAAAGUCCUUUUAACGGGGAAGAUAAUGACGGUACCCGUAGAAUAAGCCCGGCUAACUUCGCGCCAGCAGCCGC